GUCAGAAUGGCCGAGUGGUCUAAGGCGCCAGACUCAAGUUCUGGUCUCCAAAUGGAGGCGUGGGUUCAAAUCCCACUUCUGACA
Molecule: transfer RNA, 84 nt
Filed under: Danio rerio (zebrafish)
Lineage: Eukaryota; Metazoa; Chordata; Actinopteri; Cypriniformes; Danionidae
Description: tRNA-Leu (CAA) (tRNA-Leu-CAA-7 1 to 6)
Rfam family: tRNA
About the family: Transfer RNA (tRNA) molecules are approximately 80 nucleotides in length. Their secondary structure includes four short double-helical elements and three loops (D, anti-codon, and T loops).
Source: RNAcentral